Long non-coding RNA from Carassius gibelio (silver crucian carp), 418 nucleotides. RefSeq lists it as uncharacterized. The record is from RefSeq and is a predicted model, not a curated record. The transcript is spliced from 2 exons. NCBI's taxonomy places the organism in Eukaryota, Metazoa, Chordata, Actinopteri, Cypriniformes, Cyprinidae.
CACUAAUAAUAGCAAAAUAAUGCUGUCUGUUUAUAUAGAUCAAACAUUAACAACAAACAAAUCUCAAUCUGGUCAGCAUUUUAAAUAAUCAGUUCUGUGAAUUGAAUAUGCAAAUCAGCUUACUUCUUUAAAUGUGACAGUUCAUCUUUGUGAUCUGAACAGACAUCUGAACUCUGGAAACUAAGGCUAUCUUUCUGGUUUAAACUUAACAUACACCAUGUUUAAAAAGUGUAUUUUAUUUGUACUUCUGAACGUUUUACCACGUUUUGAAUGUCAGACAUUCACUCAGUCUGAAGCAGUGGUUAAAAAACCAGGAGAGUCUCACAAACUUACAUGUACAAUAACUGGAUUUACUUUCAGCGGUCUUUAUUUACACUGGAUCAGACAGAGCCCUGGAAAAGGACUGGAGUGGAUUGCA